Molecule: ribosomal RNA, 301 nt
Filed under: uncultured bacterium
Lineage: Bacteria
Description: partial 16S ribosomal RNA
Rfam family: Bacterial small subunit ribosomal RNA
Source: RNAcentral
CAUAGCCGCGGUAAUACGAAGGGUGCAAGCGUUACUCGGAAUUACUGGGCGUAAAGCGUGCGUAGGUGGUGGUUUAAGUCCGUUGUGAAAGCCCCGGGCUCAACCGGGGAAGUGGCGCCGAUACGGCCGGCCUGGAGGGGGGUAGGGGGGUCUGGAACUUCCGGUGGAGCGGUGAAAUGCGUUGAGAUCGGAAGGAACGCCCGUGGCGAAAGCGCGGCCCUGGACUCUUUCUGACGCUGAGACUCGAAAGCUAGGGGAGCGAACGGGAUUAGAUACCCCCGUAGUCCCUGUCUCUUAUACA